Molecule: ribosomal RNA, 1251 nt
Filed under: 'Callistephus chinensis' phytoplasma
Lineage: Bacteria; Bacillati; Mycoplasmatota; Mollicutes; Acholeplasmatales; Acholeplasmataceae
Description: bacterial SSU rRNA
Rfam family: Bacterial small subunit ribosomal RNA
Source: RNAcentral
GGAAACAGUGGCUAAGACUGGAUAGGAAGAUAAAAGGCAUCUUUUAUCUUUUAAAAGACCUAGUAAUAGGUAUGCUUUAGGAGGGGCUUGCGCCAUAUUAGUUAGUUGGUAGGGUAAUGGCCUACCAAGACGAUGAUGUGUAGCUGGACUGAGAGGUUGAACAGCCACAUUGGGACUGAGACACGGCCCAAACUCCUACGGGAGGCAGCAGUAGGGAAUUUUCGGCAAUGGAGGAAACUCUGACCGAGCAACGCCGCGUGAAUGACGAAGUACUUCGGUAUGUAAAGUUCUUUUAUCAAGGAAGAAAAGCAAAUGGCGAACCAUUUGUUUGCCGGUACUUGAUGAAUAAGCCCCGGCUAAUUAUGUGCCAGCAGCCGCGGUAAGACAUAAGGGGCAAGUGUUAUCCGGAAUUAUUGGGCGUAAAGGGUGCGUAGGCGGUCUAGUAAGUCAGUGGUGUAAUGGCAACGCUUAACGUUGUCCGGCUAUUGAAACUGCUAAACUUGAGUUAGAUAGAGGCGAGUGGAAUUCCAUGUGUAGCGGUAAAAUGCGUAAAUAUAUGGAGGAACACCAGAGGCGUAGGCGGCUCGCUGGGUCUUAACUGACGCUGAGGCACGAAAGCGUGGGGAGCAAACAGGAUUAGAUACCCUGGUAGUCCACGCCGUAAACGAUGAGUACUAAGUGUCGGGUUAAACCGGUACUGAAGUUAACACAUUAAGUACUCCGCCUGAGUAGUACGUACGCAAGUAUGAAACUUAAAGGAAUUGACGGGACUCCGCACAAGCGGUGGAUCAUGUUGUUUAAUUCGAAGAUACCCGAAAAACCUUACCAGGUCUUGACAUGUUUUUGCAAAAUGAUAGUAAUAUCGUGGAGGUUACCAGAAACACAGGUGGUGCAUGGUUGUCGUCAGCUCGUGUCGUGAGAUGUUAGGUUAAGUCCUAAAACGAGCGAAACCCUUAUCGUUAGUUGCCAGCACGUUAUGGUGGGGACUUUAACGAGACUGCCAAUGAUAAAUUGGAGGAAGGUGAGGAUCACGUCAAAUCAGCAUGCCCCUUAUGACCUGGGCUACAAACGUGAUACAAUGGCUGUUACAAAGGGUAGCUGAAACGCAAGUUCUUGGCCAAUCCCCAAAAACAGUCCCAGUCCGGAUUGAAGUCUGCAACUCGACUUCUUGAAGUUGGAAUCGCUAGUAAUCGCGAAUCAGCAUGUCGCGGUGAAUACGUUCUCGGGGUUUGUACACACCGCCCGUCAAAC